CCAGUGGAGAUGCCGGGACCACGAGAUGGCUGCUAAUGGAAGCUUCCCACCACAAUGAGGUUUCCCAGGACUCCUCUCUUGGUUGGGUGAUUUCUACAAGCAAUGUGAUCCUGACUGCAAUAAGCAACAUUGAAAAAAUUCACCUGUUUCCCAGCCUGAUGUCACAGGAAACAUCACAGAAACCGAAACACCCAGCACAGAGCUAUUUCUGAGCAAGAUUCCACGAAGAGAAACUGAUUAGGACACACAAAGAUCUAUCAAAAUGCAAACUUUCAGAGGGAUAACCCAAGGCUGCUCGAGAACAUCUGGAGGAGAGGAUGUCAACGCAGCCCUGCUCAGGAAGAGCCAUGCUGCAAGAGAAGGAAGCUCGUCUGCCCCCAACGCUCUCCACACCUUCAGAAGAAGAAGCAGGAAAAGACCAUUUCCCUGAAGGAAGCCCCCAAGAAACAGGCACCCCAAGGCCAGGGCACCUUCCUUCCAGCUGGUGUCACUGGAUGCCCCCUAGCACUAUGCCCUCCUGAGGAGCACAGCGUCCCAUGUGGAG
Long non-coding RNA from Jaculus jaculus (lesser Egyptian jerboa), 544 nucleotides. RefSeq lists it as uncharacterized. The transcript is spliced from 4 exons. Lineage: Eukaryota; Metazoa; Chordata; Mammalia; Rodentia; Dipodidae. The record is from RefSeq and is a predicted model, not a curated record.